Molecule: long non-coding RNA, 251 nt
Organism: Rhea pennata
Lineage: Eukaryota; Metazoa; Chordata; Aves; Rheiformes; Rheidae
Exons: 3
Source: RefSeq, a predicted model, not a curated record
GGGCAAUAGCAAAAAACAGUGUUGCAGAUGAAGAGACUGUCGUGCUUUUUGAAGAAUACCUAUCAAGCUUGACAGGUAUCAUAUGCAAACUCUUUUUGCCAGGAUUUGGAGGAACUUUUGUUCCCUGAGUUCAAUUCUCAGACUUCACAGACUGAGGAGGAAAUCUAAAAGCAAUAAAGCCAUGCAUUUUCUACUUAAGGACAAUUUAAAAUGCAACAGAAAGGCCACGGCAGCCUUUUUCACCAAAAAGC